Non-coding RNA from Mycena latifolia, 98 nucleotides. The record is from the annotation of a GenBank genome assembly. NCBI's taxonomy places the organism in Eukaryota, Fungi, Basidiomycota, Agaricomycetes, Agaricales, Mycenaceae.
GGCUCGGUAGCGCACGGCGCGCAUCUGCAUCCAGUGACCGGCAAGCUUAAGCUGUAAACUUGCAAGCAGACCCGCCUGUUCGACUCAGGCCCGAGCCA